UAUUAUUAUUCUUUUAGUUGAAAUUUAUAAAUUUGCAAAUCAAAACUGCUGCAAUUGUAAAUUUAAAAAAUUGCAAAUACUGCUAAUGCCAAUCAAAAUAGUCAAAUAAGUUCAGUAGUCACGGUUAGUUAUUAUUGUUCUAAAAAAAGUUCUGUUUCAGUGUGCCGUUUUGGAGUUAAGAAAAUCUUAUUAAUGCAUGUAUUAACCAAACCUAUUGAUAUAUGAUUUCAUUAUAUUAUGAUAAGCAUAUAGUUACUAUAUUUUUAUGAGAAAUUUAAUGAAUCUUCUGAGCACUUUUUUUUUUACUGAAAAUUUUGUUAGAAUUUUUAAUAAUUUUUUAGCUAAUGAUAAUGUUUAAUUUAUUUGGGUAUUUUUUAUUUUCUUUCAAAUUAAUUAUUUCUCAAAAAAUUUUGGAGUAUAAUUUUACAAUGACGGUUUGGUUCUAAAAAAAGAAAAAUGAUUCUAAUCAAUUAUCUAAGAACCUUAGAAUAAAUGUAGAAUAUUAAAUUGCAUACCAAACUUUACUUAUGUUUAUAACAAUAUAAUGUGUAAUCAUUAACUAGUUUAUUUUACAAAUGCAUAUAGUAUAAAUCGCACUUGCACUUAAAUUUGAUUUGCAUUUUAUGUGUAUAUAUAUUUGUUUGAAUAACUUCAUGUAUAUUUUAUUGUGAUAAUGCAGUUUUUCUGUGUAUUCUAAACCUAAGAUUUAUAUACUUUUUGUAAAUACUUUUUAAUCAAUACAUUACUUUCUGGUUACUAUUUUGUCCUGUUUUUAAGUUACUUCUUGUUGGCAAAUUCUAGAAAAAUGUUGUUCAUUUUAACGUUCUGCUUAUUUAUUUUUAAUUCAAGGUUCCUUAUUAAAAGUAGUUAAUGUCUUUUCACUUAAAAUAUUUUAUGAAGUUAAAUACAAAACGUUGAUUUCUUAUAUUUUUGUAAUAAUUUUUUUUUCGAAAUCGUGGUUUAGGCAUGCUUUUGUACCUAUCAAUUCUUUUUUUUUUUUAUCUUUAUAUUCUAAGUGUGAACUUACAUAACUACUAACUGUGAACUUACAUAAAUGUAGAACAGAUUUUCUUUAUUAGUACUAUUUCUCUUAUAUGGUGGUAUUAAAAUCUGCACUUUUGAAAUGUUGGUAAACAGUUUUUGCACUUUUGAGCGACCGCUCACACUUUUGAGUAAUUUUUAUAUAUUAAUCCAUCUAAUCAGAUUAAAUCGCCAAACCUUUCAAAUGACUGACUAUAGUAUUUUCAUAGUCUUGCAUCUAAAAUUCUUCAAAAACUGGCUGGUUUUAUAUUGUUGACUGAAAUUGAUAAGACCUCUGUUAGGCAUAUUCUAAUAAUGUUAAAAUCAUUCUUUUUUCUCAUUGUUUUAAUGCUGUGGCAUACUAGGCCAGCAAUAAAAUUCUUGUGUGCUGCUGUCUACACUUUUUAUUCACAAGCAAUGCAGAUAGCUAAUUUUAAUCCAAAUAUUUUAUAUAAAUUGUUACAGCAAGCGUAUAUUGCUUGCUCAUUGGUUAGGCAUUGGGCUGCCAUUAUGAAGGUUUAUGGUUUAAUCAUCAGUGUGAGCUUGAAGCCCAUCCAGUUUCAGAUGAAUGGGUACCAAUUUGUCAGAGAUGCAAAGACAGCUUGUGCAUAAUGCCGACCACUUUGCCACUAUUAUGCUGUUAAACACAAUAUUGUGAAGAUUUAACCUUCUGACUCACACUGUACUGCAUCAAGAAUGUUUAUUUUACUGUAGUAGUAUAUUUACCCAGUAUGAUUGAUACAUUUCUCAUUUUUGCAAAAUGUGUCAAUCAACACACAUAAGACCAUUGGGACACAUUUUGAGAUUAAAGAGUUAAUUAUCACAUAAAACUGUUAUGAUGAAUUUUAGACACCAGAUUGAAUUGUCACCAUUUCAUUAAGAAUUUUUCAUGCAUUCAGCUAUUAGAUAAAUGUAAGAACAAUUAUUCUUUCAGUGGUGUCUAAUAUUGCUGUUGUACUUAACGUAACUUUAUUUUAAAAGUGAGCUCUUUCUAUUCUGUAUUAUUAGUCCAGUGCUAUCUUUAUCACCUGCUGAUAUUUUUUGAGGAUAAUGCUUUAUUUUUUAUAAGAAAUAAAGAGAGUAGUUUCAUACAAAGGUACUUGGUAUGAGGUACAAAGGUGAACAAUAUCAAUAUUUUUGAUAUUGUUGCACUACAAACUAAAUUGGGAAAAAUUCGACAAAGCAUAUCAAGCUAUAUGCUGAUACAUUUUUUUUCUAUGUAGUACACCACUUUUUUACAAAUAAUUUUAAUAAAAUUGUGUAAAGUUUGCUAUUAUCUAAUUUUUAAUAGAUUUAAAAAAAUUUGUUAAUAUAUCAAUGUUUAAAAUAUUUAAUUUCUAAGAAUCUAUGUUUAAAAUUUUUUUUAAAUUCUCUCUUUAAUUAAUAUGAAAUUUUGGCGCAACUUAAGGACUGGGGACUAAAUAGCCUACAAAGCUCUUGUACUAUCAUUAAUAUUAAUUUUAUGAUUGAAAUAUUAUGCGUCAUAUGCUUAUUUAUUCAAUGUUUCAUCGUUUUAUUUUCCUUAGGUGAGACUGAAAAAUUAUUUCUUUCAUCUCAAUUUUUUGUAUUUCGUUUUCAAUUAAUUAUAUUUCUUUCUAUAAAAUGUCUUUCAGGUUAAAAGUUAUCUCUUCAUAUGAAGUAUAAUUUUUUCUAGUCCAAGAACUAUUUAAGAAGAAAUGCUUGUAUUGAUAUGAAGACGAAAUCUGAUGACUGUGCAAGAUCCUUUGUUUAACCUGUUUCACGGAUGCUAUGCUUAAUUUGUCAUUUACUGGGAAGGAUGCAAUAGUUAGUUAUAUGCUAUAACUAUUAAAGAAACAUAUUAACUUUUUGUAAAAGUCUAAGAAAUUAUUGUUACUAAAAGUGUACUUUUAGUACUUUCAAUCCUGAUGAAAAAAAGUUUAUAACACUUCUAUACAUUGCAGUGUACAUUUAUAUAGAAGUGCUUGUGUAAAACUUAUCAAUUGAUUAAAAAAAAAUGUUAGUCAUUUUUGCUUUAUUAGUAAUUAUUAUGUAUGCAUUGUUCAAGAAUACUGUGUGAAGUUCAGCUGAUUACUCAUAAAUACUCUUAUUAAUUUUGUACAUGCUUGUUUCAGUACAUUGUAUAGAAUUGUACUGUCUGCUCUAAGGUACUGGUUAAAUUAUGUUUCUGUUUUAUACUAGUCAUUGUUAGCUACGCUGUGAUAUUUACAAUUUCAUAAAACAUUUCCCAUAUAUUUAUGCAUGUUGCAUGCUGUCAUUGCUAUUUUAACGAAUUUGUAAAACAAGAAUAUUAUCAGCUGAAUUAUGUGAUAUUUCAACAUUGUUAUGUGAAUAAGAUUAUUCUCUUGUACAACUAUUUUUGAAAUUUAUUUUAAAUAAUAAAAAAAAAUUGUAUGAA
Molecule: non-coding RNA, 3397 nt
Organism: Parasteatoda tepidariorum (common house spider)
Lineage: Eukaryota; Metazoa; Arthropoda; Arachnida; Araneae; Theridiidae
Source: RefSeq, a predicted model, not a curated record